Molecule: ribosomal RNA, 377 nt
Filed under: uncultured bacterium
Lineage: Bacteria
Description: bacterial SSU rRNA
Rfam family: Bacterial small subunit ribosomal RNA
Source: RNAcentral
UAAUACGGGGGGAGCAAGCGUUGUCCGGAAUCACUGGGCGUAAAGGGCUCGUAGGCGGGCCAUUAAGUCAGAAGUGAAAUUUACUCGCUUAACGAGUAAACUGCUUUUGAUACUGAUGGUCUUGAAACACAAAGAGGAAAAUGGAAUUCCAGGUGUAGCGGUGAAAUGCGUAGAUAUCUGGAAGAACACCGGUGGCGAAGGCGGUUUUCUGGUUGUUGUUUGACGCUAAAGAGCGAAAGCGUGGGUAGCGAACAGGAUUAGAUACCCUGGUAGUCCACGCCCUAAACGAUGAAUACUAGGUGUUGGAGGUAUCGACCCCUUCAGUGCCGUAGCUAACGCAUUAAGUAUUCCGCCUGGGGAGUACGAUCGCAAGGUUG